Molecule: unclassified non-coding RNA, 164 nt
Filed under: uncultured Tetracladium
Lineage: Eukaryota; Fungi; Ascomycota
Description: sequence contains ITS1
Source: RNAcentral
CCGAAGUACAGGCCCCUUCGGGGGCUACACUUCCACCCUUUGUUUACCACACACGUUGCUUUGGCGGGCCGCCUAGCUACUGGCUUCGGCUGGUAAGUGCCCGCCGGAGAACCCCAAACCCAAACCAUUUUACAGUGUCGUCUGAAUACAAGUUUAAAUAUUUA